GACGAACGCUGGGGGCGUGCUUAACACAUGCAAGUCGAACGAACUCGACCUUCGGGUCAAUGAGUGAGUGGCGAACGGGUGAGUAACACGUGAGAAACCUACCUCGAAGUAAGGAAUAACCCAGGGAAACUCGGGCUAAUACCUUAUGCCUUGCACAGAUCGAAUGGUCAGUGCAAGAAAGAUUUAUCGCUUUGAGAGGGUCUCGCGGACUAUCAGCUUGUUGGUAAGGUAAAGGCUUACCAAGGCUAUGACGGUUAGCUAGUCUGAGAGGACGAUUAGUCACACUGGAACUGAGAUACGGUCCAG
Molecule: ribosomal RNA, 306 nt
Filed under: uncultured bacterium
Lineage: Bacteria
Description: bacterial SSU rRNA
Rfam family: Bacterial small subunit ribosomal RNA
Source: RNAcentral